This 460-nucleotide ribosomal RNA is filed under the name uncultured Bacteroidota bacterium. RNAcentral describes it as "uncultured Bacteroidetes bacterium partial 16S ribosomal RNA". Lineage: Bacteria; Pseudomonadati; Bacteroidota. The record is from RNAcentral.
GACUACCGGGGUAUCUAAUCCUGUUCGAUCCCCACGCUUUCGUGCCUCAGCGUCAGUUGCGGCUUCGCGAGCUGCCUUCGCGAUCGGUGUUCUGUGCCAUAUCUAAGCAUUUCACCGCUACACGGCACAUUCCGCCCACGUCAACCGCACUCAAGAGCGCCAGUAUCAAUGGCAAUUCCACAGUUGAGCUGCGGGAUUUCACCACUGACUUAACGCUCCGCCUACGCACCCUUUAAACCCAAUGAAUCCGGAUAACGCUUGCACCCUUCGUAUUACCGCGGCUGCUGGCACGAAGUUAGCCGGUGCUUAUUCCUCCGGUACCGUCAACCCAGGACACGUCCUGGGGUUUCUUCCCGGUUAAAAGCAGUUUACAACGCGUAGCGCCUUCAUCCUGCACGCGGCAUGGCUGCGUCAGAGUUGCCUCCAUUGCGCAAUAUUCCUCACUGCAGCCGCCCGUAGG